UGCAGCAUCCCAGCAGCCUUCACCCAGCGGAUGGGAUGAACAGAGAGAAAGAGACAGACACAGAGGAGACGGAGAACAAGGCGUGUCACCGUACCAACAGAGAGGAGCCAGAGUUCUGCCCAAAACCUCUACAUCUGCCUGUGAAGAAGCGUCAGAAGCGUGCGGAGUCAGACGUGGUGGAGGCUGUCUGGACACAGCUGUGUUUGCAUGCAGUGGCUGCUGGUUUGAUGCAGAAUGCCUCUAGUUCAGUGUCAGCCGGCAGGCAGAAGAGGGCGCAUCAGGACACAUCUUCAUCUGCUGCUCCUCUUCCUCAUUGUGCUACAAACACAUGGAUACAUUAUAAUCCCUCCCGACUACACAUAUAACAACCUAAAACAAGCUCCAAAGAUCACAGCUCAGCCCGUGUCUCACACCGCUUUCUCUCUGGAUGAUGUCAAUCUGGCCUGUGAAGCCAGUGGAGACCCAGCGCCCAGUUUCCGCUGGGUCAAAGAUGGCAACGAGUUUAGGAGGGAACUGUUUGAGUCUGGGACCCUGACAGCAGAUGAAAAGGAGGAGCUCCGAUCCUAUCAGGGCUCGUACCGCUGCUAUGUGGCCAACGAGCUGGGCACGGCCGUCUCAGACCUGGCACGCCUGAUCACAGAGUCCAUCCCAACCUUGGCCAAAGAGAAGAGGCAGAAAAGAAGAUCGUUUGAGGAGGGAGAAAGCGCAGUCCUCUACUGUAACCCUCCCAAGAGCUCUGUCACUCCCAAAAUACACUGGAUGGACAUGCAGCUGCGCCACAUCCAUCUGAAUGAGCGGGUGACCACCAGUCUUGAUGGAAAUCUUUACUUUGCCAACUUACUAGUCAAUGACAGCAGAGAAGACUUCACCUGCAAUGCCCACUACAUCAGCGCCAGCGUCAUCCUCCCUAAAGAGCCCAUCUCCAUCAGCGUCGCGCCCUCAAAUUCUGUGGUGAAGAACCGGCGGCCCCAGCUGCAGAAGCCAGCGGGCUCCCACAGCUCUUACCUGGUGCUCAGGGGCCAAACACUGACUCUAGAGUGCAUCCCAGAAGGCCUCCCCACUCCAGAGGUGCAGUGGGAACGGAUGGACAGCCCUCUGUCUCCGGCGCGGGCCCGGACGCUGAACUUUGGCCGCUGGCUCCGGAUCCAGAGCGUGUCGGAGGCGGAUGAUGGCGAGUACACAUGCACCGCCCAAAACAGCCAGGGCUCCGUUAAACACCACUACGCCGUCACAGUAGAGGCUGCUCCGUACUGGACCAGGCGUCCUGAGGACCACCUGUACGCCCCAGGAGAGACCGUGAGGCUGGACUGUCAGGCCGAGGGGAUUCCCACCCCAAACAUCACCUGGAGCAUCAACGGCGUUCCCAUCGCAGGGACGGACUCGGACCCGAGACGGCUUGUGAGUUCAGGGACACUGAUCCUGACUGAUGUUCAGUACAGUGAUACGGCGGUCUAUCAGUGCGAGGCCACCAAUAAACACGGCAAUAUCCUGGUCAACACACACGUCCAUGUAGUUGAGCUGCCUCCUCAGAUCCUGACGGCAGACGAGCUCGUGUACAAGGCCACAGAGGGACAAACCGUUCUGCUGCUGUGCCGCACGUUUGGCUCCCCACAACCCAAAGUCGACUGGGAGAUUUUCGGCUCUGGUCCAGCUCUGGCCAAUGCUAAAAUGUCUCAGACGAGCGAUGGAAAUCUUCAGAUCAGUGACGUGAGUGAAGAAGACACCAACACUUACACGUGCUCAGUGAGACACAGCAACAGGAGCAUCAGUGCUGAGCUGGAGGUCCUGAACAGAACUAAGAUUGUGGACCCUCCUCAAGAUCUGCAGGUUUUACGUGGAGAUGAUGCUGUUUUGCAAUGCAAAUAUACAGUGGACCACAAGUUAAAACAACCCACAAUUCAGUGGAAGAAGGACAAACACAAGAUCACAUCAUCUGCUAAUGAUGACAAAUACACUGAUUACUCCGACGGCUCUCUGAAGAUCACCGACGUUCAGAUGGAGGACUCGGGAAUCUACAGCUGUGAGAUCAGCACUAAACUGGACUCGGUCAGUGCCACCGGCUCCAUCACCGUACAGGAUAAGCCCGGUUCUCCUCACUCUCUGGAGUUGUCUGAAAAGAAGGAGCGUAGAGUAACGCUGUCCUGGAUGCCAGGCUCUGAAAACAACAGUCCUGUAUCUGAGUAUGUUAUUGAGAGGAAAGAGGAGCAGAAUCCAGAAAAGGGCCACUGGGAGGAGUACAGAAGAGUUCCUCAAGACAUCAGACACCUGGAGAUCCACCUGCAGCCGUACAGCACGUAUCACUUCCGGGUCAGAGCAGUCAAUGGCAUAGGAACCAGCGAGCCCAGUCCUCCCUCAGAUUCAUACAACACGCCAGCAGCCAAGCCUGACAUGAAUCCAGAGAAUGUGACGACGGUGUCUGCUGAUCCAAACACUAUGGUCAUCACAUGGCAGGAACUAGAGCGACAACAAUUUAACGGACCAGGUUUUAAGUACAAGAUCUACUGGCGUCAAGCUUCAGGCAGGAGUUCACAUUGGGAUGAAAGCAGCGCCUCAAAUCCUCCUUUCAUCGUGAACGUCAACGGGACCUUCAUCCCCUUCGAGAUUAAAGUUCAGGCAGUCAAUGAGCUUGGAACAGGACCAGAACCAGAUGCUGAGAUCGGCUACUCGGGGGAAGACUUACCUCUGAAAGCUCCUUCAGAGGUGGCAGUGACCGAGCUGAACAAAACCUCUGUCCUGGUAAGAUGGAGUCCAGUCGACAAGGAAUCUGUCCGCGGACACUUACUCGGCUACAAGAUCCAUCUGAGAAAGAAAAGCCCCAGAACUCACAGCCGAAGAGGCCUGCCGAUGCAAGAACCAGCGGCGGACAGGAACAGAAUCUUUGUGGUUCAUGGAAAUAAGGUGGAGACGGUCGUGAGCGACUUGCAGUUUUACUCGAACUAUACUCUGACAGUUGCACCUUUCAACAGCAAAGGUGAAGGUCCGCAUUCGAAGGCGUAUCACUUUAGCACUCCAGAGGGCGCUCCUGGACCAGUUUCAUUCUUGACCUUCGAGAGCCCGUCUGAGACGGAGAUCACCCUGCACUGGGAAGCUCCAGACAAACCCAACGGAGUGCUCACAGGCUACCUGCUACAGUACUAUGAACCUGUGCCUGCAAUUUCGAGCGCACAACUGGUGGAAUCCAUCAACCUGCCCCUUGUUACUGAGUUCACACUGAAGGGUCUGAAUCCUCAGAUCCAAUACCACUUCAAACUCAGAGCACUCACUGCUGCUGGUGAUGGGGAGCCUGUAGAAAUGGAGGGCACCACCUUGUUGGAUGGAGAACCACCAUCUGCGAUCAACAUUGCAGCUGGACAAACAUCGGUUAACGUCAGUUGGGUGCCAGGAGAAAGACAGCGUAACAUUGCCUUUAGCUUCCGUUACCUGAAAAAAAGUGUGGGUGGUGAAUGGGAAGAGUCGGAGAAGGUCAACUCCUCACAGGCAUUCUAUCAGCUGCAGGGUCUGAUGCCGGGCGUUCAGUACCACCUACGGAUCCUGCCCGGAAACAACUCCUGGGAAUUCAAAACGGCUGGACCAGAGCUGCAUGAGUUGCCCAGCAGCUUUGCGACUCAGGGCUGGUUCAUCGGACUCAUCAGUGCCAUGAUUCUGCUGCUGCUAGUGCUGCUCAUUCUGUGCUACAUCAAGAAGAGCAAGGGAGGGAAGUAUUCAGUGAAAGCUAAAGAGGAGGAUCAGGUCAAUGGGGCCCGAACAAUGAAAGAUGGAGAGUUUGGAGAGUACAAAUCUCUGGAGAGUGAUAUGGAGAAGUGCUCCAUCAGUCAGCGGUCCGUCUGCGAGAGCAAGCGCAGCAGCAACGACAGUCUAGCCGACUAUGGAGACAGUGUCGACAUCCAGUUCAACGAGGACGGCUCCUUCAUCGGCCAGUACAGCGGACGCAGAGAUGCAAACGGUCAAGGCACUCACGCCAGCUCGGGCGCCACGUCUCCCAUCAAUCCCAACAUGCCUCCACCCAGCAUCAGCUUUCCCACGUCUGUGACAGGAUUCCUGGGGCCAAACUAACACUCCACCGCCACACGCACACAUCCUUGACCAUUUGAAUGAGGGCCCUGAUGGUAUUAGACAGGAUAUUGAUUUGAGGACAGACAGUCGUUACUAUAUGACGCAAGAAACGACAUCCGCAAACACCGCCGGCUUCACUCUCGCAUAAUAAUGACACAUGUGCAUCCGACAGACACGAAUAAUGUGCAGGACAGUUGCUUCUAACAUUCCAUCCAAGCACUGAAAACUGUUUACAAUGCUCACCUCGCUGCUUCAAGUGAUGUUUGGACUGUAGAUUCUCUCUCACUGGAAGUUUUUCCAGUUCUCUCGCUGAAAUUCUGCAGAAGGUGGUGUGAUAAACAACAGACACAAGCGGGGGAAAGGCACGAAUACAACUGUUUGAGAGUGUAGGGCAGACUUGGGCCUUGUUCACGUGGCACACAAAUCGGAUUUGUUUUGAAGAUGGGAUCUGUAGGAGGGACCGCCUGCACCGAUUUUAACAGUCAGUAGAACUGAGGCUGAUUCUUUAGACGGUGUAGUCGGUAUUUCAGUCAGUACAGGCUAAGAUGCAUUUCCAGAUUUUGUUUUUUUAACUGUUCAGACUAAACCAAAACAAAGCGAUUUUGCUGCCUCUCUGAACAAUGCCUUAUGUCGAAUACAUCAGCUGAAAUCACUGCAGUCAAUAGAAGUCAGGUCUUAAAGGCUGAAAGCGAAAAUCUUUUUCUAUUCGUUAUGGGUUGAAGGCAUUCUUUUACCAUUCAUGAUUACAAAACAUUACAAUUAUUUGAAGUAUUGUUUUUGUAUUAUUCUUUUACUUAUGUUCUUACUUUUUAUAUAUAUAUAUAUAUAUAUAUAUAUAUAUAUAUAUAUAUAUAUAUGAAAUACAUGUAUAUACAUCAUAUAUUUUUUUUUUCAUAAAGGCUAAUAUAUUUGGUUUAUAAUGUCAUAUUUUUUAUUUAUUUUGUAUUAUUUUAUUUUUUGCUUGUAAUGUAUUUAUCUUUAUGAAUUCAUGUUUUAUAAAACAGUAUGUAUGAACAUUAAUAAUCUGCCAUGUGUGUCUCUCUGUCUUAAUAAUCAAAGUUCAGGGCUUUUAACCGUGUAUCGUUUGUAUUGUUGCCUAAGUGUGUUACCCAAGUGAGUUUUUAAAAUAAUGGUGUUUUUGAUGCAAUUUAUUACGUUAAAUCCCUUUGAAGUACAUACAGCCGCUGCACUAAAGCCAAAUUUUGUGAUCUUGACACUAACAUAUAUUUUUAAAAGAAAAAAGAAAAAAACAGCAACAAAAACUGAUUUCCUGCAGCAAAUAACAGCAUGAGAUGUAGUGCUAGGCUAGUUGAUGUAGUGUGAGGCUGUGCCUGUUGUUCUGCUGUAACGCUGAGGCCAAACCCCGACAACUGCUGUGCUCCAGUGUCUGUGUCAUCCGUCCGUCAGCUUGCAAAUAUUAACACUCAAACAUUGCUAAUUAUGUACAGUGAAUUAUUACUAACAAUAACAGUCAUACAGUAUAAUCUAUCACACAUUUGUCUCAUGUCAUCAAUUGUUCUUUCUGGUGCGGGCAUUCGUUGAAUUGAUGUAGUUGGGCUGUUCCUGUCUGAAGGAAAUGGCUUUGAACAAUAUUACGAGCCAAUGGCAGCAAAUAGACACAGACUACAAAAGAACAAACUGAUGGUUCAUAUUCUGAAUUGAUGAUGUCAUGAUGGGCCUGCAGUUUGAUGACCUCAUCACCUCUCAACCAACCCGUUUGAAGACUGUAGAGCAAGACAUUUGUGACGUUUUAUAAUAGAAUGAGUAGAAAGAUCUUCAGACAGUAAUUAUGGCUUUGAGUUUACUCAUUUGUCUUCUCUCGCAUACGCCACAGCAUCCUGAAUUGUACUGAUCAAAGUCAUGCUGCAAACGCCUGGUUAAAAUCAAAUUAAAUACUAGGAAUAUUUACAACAAAUGUAUGUAAGAGUAUGUAGCCUGUGUACGCAUUAAAAUCUAUUUUCCUACAAAAAGGACUUGAGUUAAACGGGUGGAAUUGCAGUGCAUGGCUUUUUACAAUGAGCUGUGAAAGACCUAAAGCAUGCCACCAUCCCUCCCGGCUCUGUGGGAUAUCUCCAUAUUGUAUGUAAGCUUCCUCUUACCUCUGCUUUCUAUUUGUAAAUCGAAACACUAAAAUGAGAAUAAAAAUGUAGUCAGAGUGGUAUUUCAAAGCA
This is an RNA transcript of Onychostoma macrolepis, 6224 nucleotides long. It is a transcript of the gene named L1 cell adhesion molecule, paralog b, with no coding region annotated. The record is from RefSeq and is a predicted model, not a curated record. The transcript has 30 exons. Lineage: Eukaryota; Metazoa; Chordata; Actinopteri; Cypriniformes; Cyprinidae.